RNAcentral lists this ribosomal RNA (301 nucleotides) under uncultured bacterium. RNAcentral describes it as "partial 16S ribosomal RNA". It matches the Rfam family "Bacterial small subunit ribosomal RNA", at positions 509 to 808 of the family's 1533-position model. The record is from RNAcentral.
CAGCCGCCACGGUAAUACGAAGGGUGCAAGCGUUACUCGGAAUUACUGGGCGUAAAGCGUGCGUAGGUGGUGGUUUAAGUCCGUUGUGAAAGCCCUGGGCUCAACCUGGGAAUUGCAGUGGAUACUGGGUCACUAGAGUGUGGUAGAGGAUAGUGGAAUUUCCGGUGUAGCAGUGAAAAUGCGUAGAGAUCGGAAGGAACAUCUGUGGCGAAGGCGACUAUCUGGGCCAACACUGACACUGAGGCACGAAAGCGUGGGGAGCAAACAGGAUUAGAUACCCGCGUAGUCCCUGUCUCUUAUA